CCGGUUGCCGGAGCCCGAUCCUGCGUCUUUUGUCUGCCCUGCUCCAGCUGAGGAGCGGAGACGGCUGCGCGCCCCAAGCGAGCCAAUCAGAAGGUAGCCGGCGCCGGCCGAAAUGGAUGAAAAUUUUCUUCUGUGCUCUGAAUAUAGUGCAUGAUCUCAGAGUUCUCUGUGCCAGCAGACUCUGUCUGGAACUCAGCCAAAACUUCUUCAUGAUUAAAGCAACACAAAGGCCACCUGGAUGAUAUGCAUGCCAUUUCUACAAAUGUCCCCUCCAACAAGGCAACAGAUUUCAGCUUGGCUCUCACCAGGAGACAGAGCAAAUGAGAUCCAAAUGACAGUCCAGGCUGUUUUGCUAGGGCAGGGCACAAACAGAGCAAGCAGCUGGUGAGCUGUUACCUCAUGUCGUCUCCAUAACUCUGGGAAAGAGGAUUGUAUCGUUAGUCUCAUUUUACAGAUGAGGAAUUGAGACCCAAAGCAGUAAAGCAACUUGUUCAAAGUCA
This is a long non-coding RNA of Mastomys coucha (southern multimammate mouse), 500 nucleotides long. RefSeq lists it as uncharacterized. The record is from RefSeq and is a predicted model, not a curated record. The transcript is spliced from 3 exons. NCBI's taxonomy places the organism in Eukaryota, Metazoa, Chordata, Mammalia, Rodentia, Muridae.